CGGGAGCGUACGGGGUCGGGGAGAGGGAGGCACCGCGCGUGCUCUCCGCUGCUCGCCGCCGGCGACGCGGCCUGAUGUAGCUGGACGGCGGCGCGGCCCGAGGCGGCUGGACGGCCGUCGUCGGAGGCAGGGCUGCGCCUGCGGCUGCGGAUCCACGUGGGGAAGGUUCGGGGGCUACGCGCAGCCGCCUCGGGGGAGUCUCGGUGCUCCUCAACCGAGGCGGCGGCGGCGGCGCGUGCUGCGGCCGGUGGAGAGGGUGAGGGGGAGAGGGAGGGGCAGGGGCAGGGGACGGUGGGAGGGUGCUGCGGCGCGUGCUGCGGAUCCAAUUUUUGUUUUCUUAUUUUUUAUUUUUCUUAUAUGAUGUAUAUGAUGUAUAUUUUUAAUUAUUAAUUGUCCUAAAUAAAUGUAUAUGAUGUUUUAUUUUUCUUAUAAUUAUUAAUUGUCCUAAAUAAUUAUUAAUUGUUCUAAGUAAAUGUAUAUGAUGUAUUAUUAAUUAUUAAUUAUUAAUUAUCCUAAAUAAUUAUUAAUUAUUAAUGGUCUUAAAUAAAUGUAUAUGAUGUUUUAUUUUUCUUAUAAUUAUUAAUUGUCCUAAAUAAUUAUUAAUUAUUAAUGGUCUUAAAUAAAUAUGAUGUUUUAUUUUUCUUAUAAUUAUUAAUUGUUCUAAAUAAUUAUUAAUUGUUCUAAAUAAAUGUAUAUGAUGUAUUAUUAAUUGUUCUAAAUAAUUAUUAAUUAUUCAUUGUCCUAAAUAAUUAUUAAUUAUUAAUGGUCUUAAAUAAAUGUGUAUGAUGUUUU
RNAcentral lists this long non-coding RNA (792 nucleotides) under Sorghum bicolor (sorghum). Its description in RNAcentral is "long non-coding RNA (SBIC_LNC014879)". Lineage: Eukaryota; Viridiplantae; Streptophyta; Magnoliopsida; Poales; Poaceae. The record is from RNAcentral.